AAAGUAACAAGGUUUCCGUAGGUGAACCUGCGGAAGGAUCAUUAUUACAAGGCUCCCUGGCCCCCCAAGCUUCGGCGGAAUGGGGCUACAGCCUGACUUAUAUACCCACCCUUUGCCUAUGUGUACCCCUAUUGCUUCCCUCGGCGGGUUCGCCCGCCGACAGGAACCAACUAAACCCUUUGCAUUAUACAUUUAACUCUGAUACAAAACUAAAUUAUUACAACUUUUAACAAUGGAUCUCUUGGUUCUGGCAUCGAUGAAGAACGCAGCGAAAUGCGAUAAGUAGUGUGAAUUGCAGAAUUCAGUGAAUCAUCGAAUCUUUGAACGCACAUUGCGCCCCUCGGUAUUCCGUGGGGCAUGCCUGUUCGAGCGUCAUUUACACCCUCAAGCUCUGCUUGGUGUUGGGCGUCUGUCCCGCCUUCGUGCGCGGACUCGCCUCAAAGUCAUUGGCAGCGGUCUCGUCGGCUUCUCGCGCAGCACAUUUGCGCUUCUCGGAGCCCCGGCGGAUCAGCGUCCAGUAAGCAAUAUCAUGACUGACCUCGAUCAGUAGAUCCCCG
Molecule: ribosomal RNA, 557 nt
Filed under: Pteris sp. WSN7
Lineage: Eukaryota; Viridiplantae; Streptophyta; Polypodiopsida; Polypodiales; Pteridaceae
Description: eukaryotic LSU rRNA
Rfam family: 5.8S ribosomal RNA (bases 222-375)
Source: RNAcentral